RNAcentral lists this ribosomal RNA (504 nucleotides) under uncultured bacterium. Its description in RNAcentral is "bacterial SSU rRNA". It matches the Rfam family "Bacterial small subunit ribosomal RNA", at positions 19 to 518 of the family's 1533-position model. The record is from RNAcentral.
AUGGCUCAGGAUGAACGCUAGCGGCAGGCUUAACACAUGCAAGUCGAGGGGCAACGCGAGUAGCAAUACUUGGCGGCGACCGGCGCAAGGGUGCGUAACGCGUGAGCAACAUGCCCGUAUCAGGGGGAUAAUCCAGGGAAACUUGGUCUAAUACCCAUAGUAAUUUUGUAAGGCAUCUUAUAAGAUUUAAAGCUUUGGUGGAUACGGAUUGGCUCGCGUGACAUUAGCUGGAUGGUAAGGUAACGGCUUACCAUGGCUAUGAUGUCUAGGGGUUCUGAGAGGAAGGUCCCCCACACUGGAACUGAGACACGGUCCAGACUCCUACGGGAGGCAGCAGUGAGGAAUAUUGGACAAUGGAUGGAAAUCUGAUCCAGCCAUGCCGCGUGAAGGAAGAAAGGUCCUAUGGAUUGUAAACUUCUUUUGUAUGGGAGCAAUAAGGCCUACGUGUAGGUUGAUGAGAGUACCAUACGAAUAAGCACCGGCUAACUCCGUGCCAGCAGCUGC